CCUAUAACUAAACUGAAGUCAUGCCUUUAAGGGUGCAGGAAAGGAAGAAGCAAGAUCCUCUGUCCCAAGGUGGAAUCGUACUGACAUCAACAAUGAAGGGAAAUGCCACAUGAUGCAGGAACAUGCAGUUUGACUUUUAAAGAAAUCUGCCGUUCUUCCCAGCAAAGACGUCCUUUUGGAAGGAGAUGAAGACAAACAGGAAGAUUUGAGCUGAACAAGUGCAAGAUGACAUUAACCUGCUAUGGAUACAAAUAUGAGUUAGAUUUAUUUCUCUUCCUCAGUCAUCUGGGCAUGUUUUUUCUAGGAAUGUGAGCAACUCUUGGCCUGGGCAUUUGAAAAGAAUAUAAUUUCCUGCUUUAAUUUUCUCUCACACAUUCAAGCAUUUUAGUUUUGCAGAACAUUGUAGUUGUGAUGAUUUGUAUUGAACUUGUGUUGAUUUAACAACCUGCACAGGGCCAAAGGUUGUGAGUGGCAAUCCUGCUGUCCUAUGGCUAUACUUAAUUAUUUGAAUCAUAGAGUUGGAAGAAGGAACUUAAGAGGUCAUCAAGAACCUUCUACAAUGUGGCAGCCCUUCAGAAGAUAUUAAAGGCAUUCCUUGGAGAAGCCACAGGCAUAGGAAACAGUUGACCUUAAAUGAACCCUCCUUAUCCUCUUGAAGAAUCA
Molecule: non-coding RNA, 663 nt
Organism: Python bivittatus (Burmese python)
Lineage: Eukaryota; Metazoa; Chordata; Lepidosauria; Squamata; Pythonidae
Source: RefSeq, a predicted model, not a curated record